AGUGAACGCUGGCGGUAGGCCUAACACAUGCAAGUCGAACGGCAGCACAGUAAGAGCUUGCUCUUACGGGUGGCGAGUGGCGGACGGGUGAGGAAUACAUCGGAAUCUACUUUUUCGUGGGGGAUAACGUAGGGAAACUUACGCUAAUACCGCAUACGACCUACGGGUGAAAGCAGGGGAUCUUCGGACCUUGCGCGAUUGAAUGAGCCGAUGUCGGAUUAGCUAGUUGGCGGGGUAAAGGCCCACCAAGGCGACGAUCCGUAGCUGGUCUGAGAGGAUGAUCAGCCGCACUGGAACUGAGACACGGUCCAGACUACUACGGGAGGCAGCAGUGGGGAAUAUUGGACAAUGGGCGCAAGCCUGAUCCAGCCAUACCGAGUGGGUGAAGGAGGCCUUCGGGUUGUAAAGACCUUUUGUUGGGAAAGAAAAGCAGCAGGUUAAUACCCCGCUGUUCUGACGGUACCCAAAGAAUAAGCACCGGCUAACUUCGUG
RNAcentral lists this ribosomal RNA (492 nucleotides) under uncultured bacterium. Its description in RNAcentral is "partial 16S ribosomal RNA". It matches the Rfam family "Bacterial small subunit ribosomal RNA", at positions 29 to 507 of the family's 1533-position model. The record is from RNAcentral.